Long non-coding RNA from Apis mellifera (honey bee), 915 nucleotides. RefSeq lists it as uncharacterized. The record is from RefSeq and is a predicted model, not a curated record. NCBI's taxonomy places the organism in Eukaryota, Metazoa, Arthropoda, Insecta, Hymenoptera, Apidae. The transcript is spliced from 3 exons.
CUGCAUUAUGUUUUCUUGUGAAAACGGUGAAGGAAGUUUUAAAUUCUCUAGUGUUUUUAAAUGUGAAAAAAUUCAUCCAAUAUGCACACCGUGACUGCAUGCACUGUCAACGUACACGGGCAGCCUUAAGAUGUCAUGCAGAAGCACGACAGUUAACUUUAAAGCAGUUAAAUUCUAUUCUAUCAUUUUUUUUAUUCUAUCAACGUAAUGAAACGAAGCAAGAAAUUUGGUUACCAGAUAUCGGAACUUUCGGUUCUUUUGUAUCUAAACGUCAACGUGUAUCUAAAAAUAUAAUGGCAGUAAAAUACUAAGCUUGGAUUAAACAUCCAUCAAGUUAAAAUAUUUAUUUUUCUCUUUUCAUUAGAAAAUUAAAACAGACAGAAUCUAUUAUCAUUAUUUUUAUUCUUCUUCUGUGAUUAUAGUAAACGUACAUUUGCAUACAUUUUUUAUGAUUUUUACGUUUGAUUUGUGCAUUUAAAUACAACUACAACGAUGAUUUUAUUUUCAGAAUUUGAAGAAAGUUGUGAAUAUUAUAAUUAGUUGAAAUAUUAUAUAAAUAUUAUAUUUAAAAUAUUAUAUUUAGUUGAAAAUGAUUUCAAGUGUAUCAAAAGAACAUUAACAUUAACAUAUCACGUAACAGGAUGAACAAGAUAAAAUGAUAAUCUCGAUAAUCUAACUACGGAUGAUGCGAAUACACAUGUUUCGAGAUGAUAUUUUAACAAUUGAAAGUUAAGAUGGAAAUAGAUUACAUUUGAAUUCAACGGUUCAAUUUAGAAUCUACAAUUUUACCACAUAUCGUUGAAAAUUUUAAAGUUGGGUGUGAUCGUUCUUUAUUGAAGGAUAAUAUAUCUAUUAUAUCUAUUUAUAUUUUUAUAUUUUUAUAUUUAAUAUAUUUUUAUAUAUUUUUAUAUAUUC